RNAcentral lists this ribosomal RNA (630 nucleotides) under Triticum aestivum (bread wheat). RNAcentral describes it as "partial small subunit ribosomal RNA". Lineage: Eukaryota; Viridiplantae; Streptophyta; Magnoliopsida; Poales; Poaceae. The record is from RNAcentral.
AUGCUCCACAUGGACCAGAACGCCCCUGCCGCUUUCUUCAUUGGACCGGAUGGGGUUGAGAUCGAUCACCUCAACCCGGCAACCAACAUGAGGACGGCCCGUGCAGUACUCCCCGAUGGGCAGGUGCUCAACAUCCGCGACCCGGAGCUCUGGGCUGUUUUUGACCAGUUCUUUGAUCCAGCCAUUCAUGACAACAUUUUUGCGCGCAGCAGGACCCACAUCCACCCUGCCCUUCGUAAUUAUGAUGUCAUUGCCUACCCUGCUGGGAUGGUCCCGCGGGUCGCUUCCUUUGUUGAUCCCAAAGGUAAUCGUCUCGCGCACGAUUCCCAUCCCCAGUCAGAUUCCAGGUUGCACCUACCAGAUGGGAGGUUUGUUCACGUCUGUGAUCCAUACAUAUGGGUCAUCUUUGAUGAGCACCUAAGCCCGAAUCUGCGUUCAAUCAUUCAGGGGUUUCAGCAUGUCCAAUACCGUGGCCCCCCUAUCUCGCUCAACAGUGCACGAGCCCAUGCCCCCGUCGCAUAUCCAAAGCAUGAAAAUACAAACACUUGGAUUGAUGUUCGUCCACGCCGCCGCGGCCGGGCUGCUAAUGUGGUGGGCAAUGGUUUGGGACAGGCUGGCGGGGCUGCUUAG